GAGUUUGAUCAUGGCUCAGAAUGAACGCUGGCGGCACGCUUAACACAUGCAAGUCGAACGAGAUCUUCGGAUCUAGUGGCAGACGGGUGCGUAACGCGUGGGAACCUGCCCUUUAGUAAGGAAUAACUCAGGGAAACUUGUGCUAAUACCUUAUAAUCCCCUCGGGGGAAAGCUUUAUGCGCUAAUAGAUGGGCCCGCGUUAGAUUAGCUUGUUGGCGAGGUAAUGGCUCACCAAGGCUACGAUCUAUAGCUGGUCUGAGAGGAUGAUCAGCCACACUGGGACUGAGACACGGCCCAGACUCCUACGGGAGGCAGCAGUGGGGAAUAUUGGACAAUGGGGGCAACCCUGAUCCAGCGAUGCCGCGUGAGUGAUGAAGGCCCUAGGGUUGUAAAACUCUUUCGCCAGGGAAGAUAAUGACGGUACCUGGUAAAGAAGAUCCGGCUAACUCCGUGCCAGCAGCCGCGGUAAUACGGAGGGAUCUAGCGUUAUUCGGAAUAACUGGGCGUAAAGCGAGCGUAGGCGGAUUUGUAAGUUGGAGGUGAAAUCCCAGGGCUUAACCCUGGAACUGCCUUCAAAACUACAUUUCUUGAGUUUGGUAGAGGAGAGUGGAAUUCCUAGUGUAGAGGUGAAAUUCGUAGAUAUUAGGAGGAACACCAGUGGCGAAGGCGACUCUCUGGGCCAAUACUGACGCUGAGGUUCGAAAGCGUGGGGAGCGAACGGGAUUAGAUACCCCGGUAGUCCACGCAGUAAACGAUGGGUGCUAGAUGUUGGGAACAUUAGUUUUCAGUAUCGCAGCUAACGCGUUAAGCACUCCGCCUGGGAAGUACGGCCGCAAGGCUAAAACUCAAAUGAAUUGACGGGGACCCGCACAAGCGGUGGAUCAUGUGGUUUAAUUCGAAGCAACGCGAAGAACCUUACCGGCUCUUGACAUACCAAUCGCGGAUCUAAGAGAUUAGAUCCUUCACUUCGGGUGGAUUGGAUACAGGUGCUGCAUGGCUGUCGUCAGCUCGUGUCGUGAGAUGUUGGGUUAAGUCCCGCAACGAGCGCAACCCCUACCUUCAAUUGCCAGCACGUUAUGGUGGGAACUUUGAAGGAACUGCCGGUGAUAAGCCGGAGGAAGGUGGGGAUGACGUCAAGUCCUCAUGGCCCUUACGGGCCGGGCUACACACGUGAUACAAUGGUGAUUACAAAGGGCUGCUACAGAGCGAUCUCAAGCAAAUCCUUAAAAGUCAUCUCAGUUCGGAUUGCACUCUGCAACUCGAGUGCAUGAAGUUGGAAUCGCUAGUAAUCGUAGAUCAGCGCGCUACGGUGAAUACGUUCCCGGGUCUUGUACACACCGCCCGUCACACCAUGGGAGUUGGUUUUACCUGAAGCUAGUUCGCUAACCGCAAGGAGGCAGCUAACCACGGUAAGAUUAGCGACUGGGGUGAAGUCGUAACAAGGUAACC
RNAcentral lists this ribosomal RNA (1449 nucleotides) under uncultured marine bacterium. RNAcentral describes it as "bacterial SSU rRNA". It matches the Rfam family "Bacterial small subunit ribosomal RNA". The record is from RNAcentral.